GGCAGACACUAUCUAGUUUGCAAUAUCUAUGAUGAGCACUACAUAUAACUUAUUUUUCUUUCACUGCUCUCUUUUUUCUGUUCUUUUUUCUACUUUCUGUUUGGUAUAUGUAGUGCAGUAAUACCAUAAUGUCACAAGUUCCAGUGGCUAAUUAACACAUAUGUUUAUAUUCAGCAUGUUGAACUAGCGUAGAAUUUAGCACCUACUUUAUUUGAUCAGCAUGUCUAGAUUAAUGUGUUGCAAGUUCACCUGGCAGGUAUAGGAACAUUUCUAACUGACUACAUUGCUAUGGUUCAACUAACAUCACUCAUUCCUGAACCUCUCUCCUGAUAUACAUCUAACUUAUUGUACCUACCAGCUAAACAUGCCUGCUUAGCCUGUUAUUUGUGUUAUUAUUAUUUACAUAAAAACUAUGCAGACUCAAUAAAUGCCAUGCUAAUGUAAAACUAUGCAUAUUAUGGAAAUGCUUGUUCUCACUAUUGUGGCACUGCAAGCAGGAUUAUAAUUUAUCGCACAGCAAAAAUAAAG
This is a non-coding RNA of Pelobates cultripes (western spadefoot toad), 528 nucleotides long. NCBI's taxonomy places the organism in Eukaryota, Metazoa, Chordata, Amphibia, Anura, Pelobatidae. The record is from the annotation of a GenBank genome assembly.